RNAcentral lists this unclassified non-coding RNA (192 nucleotides) under uncultured fungus. RNAcentral describes it as "sequence contains ITS1". Lineage: Eukaryota; Fungi. The record is from RNAcentral.
UUAACUAUUACAUAGUACUCAGACGACACAAAUAUUCAGAGUUUUGGGGUCCUUUGGCGGGCACUCACCAGCCGGAGCCAGUAGCCGAAGCGGCCCGCCAAAGCAACAAAGGUAUAGUAUUCAAGGGUGGGAGAUCUACCCGUUAAGGGCAUGAACUCUGUAAUGAUCCUUCCGCAGGUUCACCUACGGAAA